CGUACGUGCGGGCGCGACGAGGUGGCGGCCCCCCGGCGUCGCAUUCCUAACCCUGCACUGAAUGGUGCAGGCAGAAGAGCAAAUCCAGUGUGUGGUCUGCUGGUACAAGGCCUGGAGCCCCGAGUGUCGACAGCAGCUGCUGGAUUUUCUCGUGCUUCAGGCUGUCCCAGACAGUGUUGAUUCUCUCCUUCAGGGUGUCAGCCAGCUCGGAGUCUCCUCUGAGCACUCCACGUUCCAGUGCCAGCUACGCCUGCUAGCACACUGGUUCAGCCAGUGGAGCGACACCGCCCGCAACCGGCUGCUCCAGCUGCUGGACAUCGCCGACGCGCAGUUUAUGCCGCAGUUCCGCGCGCGCACGACACGAUGACGUCACAC
This is a long non-coding RNA of Pollicipes pollicipes, 375 nucleotides long. RefSeq lists it as uncharacterized. The record is from RefSeq and is a predicted model, not a curated record. The transcript has 3 exons. Lineage: Eukaryota; Metazoa; Arthropoda; Thecostraca; Pollicipedomorpha; Pollicipedidae.